AAGGGCACCACAAGAACGCGUGGAGCAUGUGGCUUAAUUUGACUCAACGCGGGAAAUCUUACCGGGUCCGGACACACUGAGGAUUGACAGGCGAUAUAACGAAUCUUAUUUCUUAAUAAGAUAUUCGCUAUUCAAAUAUGCUAGUCCUUUCAUGAUUAUGUGUAGGUGGUGCAUGGCCGUUCUUAGUUCGUGGAGUGAUCUGUCUGCUUAAUUGCGUUUCACUAAGGUCCCAUAUACUAAAGGCAUGUCGACCUCUCUUUAGGAUUAAUUAAGGCUUGGACCCCUCUUUUAUUAAGAGCGAGUGUCUAAUGUCUUAUUAUCCUUUAUAUAAGAUAGUGUCGUAUGCUGUUGGGAUCUGAAAGCAACGAACGUGACCGCAACGUCUUGUUGCCUUACCUAUACUGGUAUUAUACUUAAUACCGUAUAACUCAAGGCUUUACUUAUAAAACUAGACGGACCGCUGUUUCUUUUCCUUAAACCAGAGGAAGGUUGCGGCAAUAACAGGUCUGUGAUGCCCUUAGAUGUUCCGGGCUGCACACGUGCUACAAUGAUCAGUACAGUGAGCAUCUCAAUUUAUCUUUAUAUAGAAUUUAUUCUAUAUAAGAACCGUAUUUUCAAGCAUCUGUCGUUAUUACAAUGAUCAGUAUGCGCGGUAACGCCUGUUUCGAGAGUAAAUGGGUAAUCCAUUGGAAGUAAUGAUUUCUCUAUUUUAUAAUAAAAUGCACGGUUUAUAUACGGCAUUCAUUCCCGAGGCGCCUUUGUAGUGUCUAUGUGCGAAUGUAAUGUUAUGGCUUUGUUAUUAACGACUAUUCCUUAAUAGUUUUGUUAUUAACGGCUAUAGUUAUCGUAUGUGCGAUUG
RNAcentral lists this ribosomal RNA (859 nucleotides) under Globorotalia scitula. RNAcentral's name for it is "SSU rRNA". The stretch from base 18 to 685 matches the Rfam family "Eukaryotic small subunit ribosomal RNA", at positions 1174 to 1613 of the family's 1831-position model. Lineage: Eukaryota; Foraminifera; Rotaliida; Globorotaliidae. The record is from RNAcentral.